UACGGAGGGUGCGAGCGUUGUCCGGAAUCAUUGGGCGUAAAGGGCGCGUAGGCGGCUCAUGAAGGCUGUGGUGAAAGUCCGGGGCUCAACCUCGGAUCGGCCGUGGCGACUCGUGGGCUGGAGCACUGUAGAGGCGGGUGGAAUUCCGGGUGUAGCGGUGGAAUGCGUAGAGAUCCGGAAGAACACCAGUGGCGAAGGCGGCCUGCUGGGCUAUGGCUGACACUGAGGCGCGACAGCGUGGGGGAGCAAACAGG
RNAcentral lists this ribosomal RNA (254 nucleotides) under uncultured bacterium. Its description in RNAcentral is "partial 16S ribosomal RNA". It matches the Rfam family "Bacterial small subunit ribosomal RNA", at positions 524 to 776 of the family's 1533-position model. The record is from RNAcentral.